This 492-nucleotide ribosomal RNA is filed under the name uncultured soil bacterium. RNAcentral's name for it is "bacterial SSU rRNA". It matches the Rfam family "Bacterial small subunit ribosomal RNA", at positions 26 to 517 of the family's 1533-position model. The record is from RNAcentral.
AGAUUGAACGCUGGCGGCAGGCCUAACACAUGCAAGUCGAGCGGUAGAGAGGUGCUUGCACCUCUUGAGAGCGGCGGACGGGUGAGUAAUGCCUAGGAAUCUGCCUAGUGGUGGGGGAUAACGUUCGGAAACGGACGCUAAUACCGCAUACGUCCUACGGGAGAAAGCGGGGGACCUUCGGGCCUCGCGCCAUUAGAUGAGCCUAGGUCGGAUUAGCUAGUUGGUGAGGUAAUGGCUCACCAAGGCGACGAUCCGUAACUGGUCUGAGAGGAUGAUCAGUCACACUGGAACUGAGACACGGUCCAGACUCCUACGGGAGGCAGCAGUGGGGAAUAUUGGACAAUGGGCGAAAGCCUGAUCCAGCCAUGCCGCGUGUGUGAAGAAGGUCUUCGGAUUGUAAAGCACUUUAAGUUGGAGGAAGGUUGUAACUUAAUACGUUGCAACUUUGACGUUACCGACAGAAUAAGCACGCUAACUUCGCGCCAGCAGCCG